UCAAACAAACAAUACUAAGUGAAUUUAAACUUCACCCCAUUGCACAAGUUCAAGACUCAUUGGCCG
This 66-nucleotide transfer RNA is filed under the name Schistosoma mansoni. Lineage: Eukaryota; Metazoa; Platyhelminthes; Trematoda; Strigeidida; Schistosomatidae. The record is from RNAcentral.